Molecule: ribosomal RNA, 524 nt
Filed under: uncultured bacterium
Lineage: Bacteria
Description: partial 16S ribosomal RNA
Rfam family: Bacterial small subunit ribosomal RNA
Source: RNAcentral
GACGAACGCUGGCGGCGUGCCUAAUACAUGCAAGUCGAGCGCAGGAAAUCGACGGAACCCUUCGGGGGGAAGUCGACGGAAUGAGCGGCGGACGGGUGAGUAACACGUAAAGAACCUGCCCUCAGGUCUGGGAUAACCACGAGAAAUCGGGGCUAAUACCGGAUGGGUCAUCGGACCGCAUGGUCCGAGGAGGAAAGGCGCUUCGGCGGCGCCUGGGGAUGGCUUUGCGGUGCAUUAGCUAGUUGGUGGGGUAAUGGCCCACCAAGGCGACGAUGCAUAGCCGACCUGAGAGGGUGAUCGGCCACACUGGGACUGAGACACGGCCCAGACUCCUACGGGAGGCAGCAGUAGGGAAUCUUCCACAAUGGACGAAAGUCUGAUGGAGCAACGCCGCGUGAACGAUGGAGGCCUUCGGGUCGUAAAGUUCUGUUGUAAGGGAAGAACAAGUGCCGCAGGCAAUGGCGGCACCUUGUCGGUACCUUGCGAGAAAGCCACGGCUAACUACGUGCCAGCAGCCGCGGUAA